UACGUGGGGUGCAGGCGUUGUUCGGAAUUACUGGGCGUAAAGCGCGUGUAGGCGGCCUGUUAAGUCUGACGUGAAAUCCCUGGGCUCAACCCAGGAACUGCAUCGGAAACUGACAGGCUAGAGUCCGGGAGAGGGUAGCGGAAUUCCUGGUGUAGAGGUGAAAUUCGUAGAUAUCAGGAGGAACACCGGUGGCGAAGGCGGCUACCUGGACCGGUACUGACGCUGAGACGCGAAAGCGUGGGGAGCAAACAGG
RNAcentral lists this ribosomal RNA (253 nucleotides) under uncultured bacterium. RNAcentral's name for it is "partial 16S ribosomal RNA". It matches the Rfam family "Bacterial small subunit ribosomal RNA", at positions 524 to 776 of the family's 1533-position model. The record is from RNAcentral.